CAGAGUUGCAAAACUCCCACAAACCAUCGCGAAUCUUACCCGUACGGUUGCCUCGGCCUCGGCGCUGGCGGUCCGGAAGGCCCUCGGGCCCCCCCGGAUCCUCGGGUCUCCCGCUCGCGGGAGGCUGCCCGCCGGAGUGGCCGAAACCAAACUCUUGAUAUUUUAUGUCUCUCUGAGUAAACUUUUAAAUAAGUCA
Molecule: unclassified non-coding RNA, 196 nt
Filed under: soil metagenome
Description: partial internal transcribed spacer 1
Source: RNAcentral